GGGCCCAUAGCUCAACUGGCGGAGCAACCGGCUCAUAACCGGACGGUUCCUGGUUCGAGUCCAGGUGGGCCCACCA
Molecule: transfer RNA, 76 nt
Filed under: Deltaproteobacteria bacterium
Lineage: Bacteria; Pseudomonadati; Myxococcota; Myxococcia
Description: tRNA-Ile
Rfam family: tRNA
About the family: Transfer RNA (tRNA) molecules are approximately 80 nucleotides in length.
Source: RNAcentral